GAUUCUUCAUUUACUAUGUAAUAACAACGACAACAAAACCAUAAUGUUAUUUUUAGAGUGCCUUUUAGUUCUCAAAAUGUUUACACCUACUUAAAGUUAAAACAAAACAAUGGGCUUUAAUUGGCUGAACAGGAAAUGCCUGGGCCCUUCCAGGCAAAGAGGAAUUUAACCAUGAUGAACGGGAAGUGUCUAGGCAGCCAUGUUUCUCACCCGUGUGUGUUGUUUUUAGUCAAUCCCAGUCAUUAAGAUUGACUAGAAGGAACAGACUAUAACUCUCUUGGUCAUCACCCUACGCAGAAAACAAAGCUUUCAGAAUCAGGACACAAAGGACUCAAAGUGGAGAGCAGAAGUGCAGCACGGAGGAAACGCAGAGAAGCCAUUUCUAGGGGGCUGGCCCCGUGGCCGAGUGGUUAAGUUCGCGCACUCCGCUGCAGGCGGCCCAGUGUUUCAAUGGUUCGAAUCCUGGGCGCGGACAUGGCACUGCUCAUCAAACCACGCUGAGGCGGCAUCCCACAUGCCACAAGUAGAAGGACCCACAACGAAG
This 544-nucleotide long non-coding RNA is filed under the name Equus asinus (donkey). Its description in RNAcentral is "lncRNA (ENSEASG00005037324.1)". Lineage: Eukaryota; Metazoa; Chordata; Mammalia; Perissodactyla; Equidae. The record is from RNAcentral.